RNAcentral lists this transfer RNA (85 nucleotides) under Oscillospiraceae bacterium. RNAcentral's name for it is "tRNA-Leu". It matches the Rfam family "tRNA". From Rfam's summary of the family: Transfer RNA (tRNA) molecules are approximately 80 nucleotides in length. Their secondary structure includes four short double-helical elements and three loops (D, anti-codon, and T loops). Lineage: Bacteria; Bacillati; Bacillota; Clostridia; Eubacteriales; Oscillospiraceae. The record is from RNAcentral.
GCGAGAGUGGCGGAACCGGCAGACGCGCACGUUUGAGGGGCGUGUGGGGAGACUCGUACGGGUUCAAGUCCCGUCUCUCGCACCA